UACGGAGGAUGCGAGCGUUAUCCGGAUUUAUUGGGUUUAAAGGGUGCGUAGGCGGGACAAUAAGUCAGUGGUGAAAACCUGCAGCUUAACUGUAGACUUGCCGUUGAUACUGUUGUUCUUGAGUAUGGUCAAGGCAGGCGGAAUGUGUAAUGUAGCGGUGAAAUGCUUAGAUAUUACACAGAACACCGAUAGCGAAGGCAGCUUGCUGGGCCGUUACUGACGCUGAUGCACGAAAGCGUGGGGAUCGAACAGGAUUAGAAACCCUUGUAGUCC
RNAcentral lists this ribosomal RNA (273 nucleotides) under uncultured prokaryote. RNAcentral's name for it is "partial 16S ribosomal RNA". It matches the Rfam family "Bacterial small subunit ribosomal RNA", at positions 524 to 796 of the family's 1533-position model. The record is from RNAcentral.